This 120-nucleotide ribosomal RNA is filed under the name Citrobacter freundii. Lineage: Bacteria; Pseudomonadati; Pseudomonadota; Gammaproteobacteria; Enterobacterales; Enterobacteriaceae. The record is from RNAcentral. RNAcentral also lists the same sequence under 17 other names.
UGCCUGGCGGCUGUAGCGCGGUGGUCCCACCUGACCCCAUGCCGAACUCAGAAGUGAAACGCCGUAGCGCCGAUGGUAGUGUGGGGUCUCCCCAUGCGAGAGUAGGGAACUGCCAGGCAU